Molecule: ribosomal RNA, 1360 nt
Filed under: uncultured prokaryote
Description: partial 16S ribosomal RNA
Rfam family: Bacterial small subunit ribosomal RNA
Source: RNAcentral
GAUGAACGCUAGCGGCAGGCUAACACAUGCAAGUCGAGGGGUAAGGUUCAGCUUGCUGAAUACACGACCGGCGCACGGGUGAGUAACACGUUUGCAACCUUCCUCUAACUGGAGAAUAGCCCGAAGAAAUUCGGAUUAAUACUCCAUAAAGUCAAUUUAAGGCAUCUUUUAUUGAUUAAAACUCUGGUGGUUAAAGAUGGGCAUGCGUGACAUUAGCUAGAUGGUAAGGUAACGGCUUACCAUGGCUACGAUGUCUAGGGGGUCUGAGAGGAUGGUCCCCCACACUGGUACUGAGACACGGACCAGACUCCUACGGGAGGCAGCAGUGAGGAAUAUUGGGCAAUGGACGCAAGUCUGACCCAGCCAUGCCGCGUGCAGGAUGACUGCCCUAUGGGUUGUAAACUGCUUUUAUAUGGGAAGAACUCUCCUAACGUGUUGGGAGCUGACGGUACCGUAAGAAUAAGCAUCGGCUAACUCCGUGCCAGCAGCCGCGGUAAUACGGAGGAUGCAGGCGUUAUCCGGAUUUAUUGGGUUUAAAGGGUGCGUAGGCGGGUUAAUAAGUCAGUGGUGAAAUCUCUCAGCUUAACUGAGAAACUGCCAUUGAUACUGUUAGUCUUGAGUAUAGUUGAGGUGGGCGGAAUGUGUCAUGUAGCGGUGAAAUGCAUAGAUAUGACACAGAACACCGAUUGCGUAGGCAGCUCACUAAACUAUCACUGACGCUGAGGCACGAAAGCGUGGGGAGCGAACAGGAUUAGAUACCCUGGUAGUCCACGCCGUAAACUAUGAUUACUCGUUAUGUGCAAUACAUCGUACGCGACUGAGCGAAAGCAUUAAGUGGACCGCCUGGGGAGUACGGUCGCAAGGCUAAAACUCAAAGGAAUUGACGGGGGCUCACACAAGCGGUGGAGCAUGUUGCUUAAUUCGAUGAUACGCGAAGAACCUUAUCCUGGGUUUGACAUGUAUGGAUGCCCAUCUGGAAACAGAGUAGGCUGCCCUUCGGGGUGAAACUUACACAGGUGCUGCAUGGCUGUCGUCAGCUCGUGUCGUGAGAUGUCGGGUUAAGUCCCUUAACGAGCGAAACCCUUGUCGCUAGUUGCCAGCGCGUAAUGGCGGGAACUCUAGCGAGACUGCCGGUGUUAAACCGGAGGAAGGCGGGGAUGACGUCAAGUCCUCAUGGCCUUUAUGCCCAGGGCUGCACACGUGCUACAAUGGUAAGGAUAGACCGAAGCGAUACCGCGAGGUGGAGCAAAUCGGAUAAAGUCGGCCCCAGUUCGGAUUGGAGUCUGCAACUCGACUCCAUGAAGUCGGAAUCGCUAGUAAUCGUGUAUCAGCGCGACACGGUGAAUGUGUUCCUGAGCCU